This 365-nucleotide unclassified non-coding RNA is filed under the name uncultured bacterium. RNAcentral describes it as "contains 16S-23S intergenic spacer region". The record is from RNAcentral.
UCUCCCGUGAGGGAGCAGUCUCGCCUGACCAUAUAGGCAACAGGCAACGAGGGUUGCGUUCGUUACCCCACUGAAGGGAACAGUUCAAACCACGAACUGACGACGACCGUGCACCACCUGUCCAACACCCUCGAAGGCUUCUCCGGUUUCCCGGAGCGUGCAGCUGGAUUUCUAAUCUUGGUAAGGUUCUUCGUUUGUCGACGAAUUGAGCCACAUAAUCCACCACUUGUGCGAAUCCCCGUCUAUUCAUUUGAGUUUUAAGCUUGCGCUCGUACUACCCAGGCGGCUCGCUUACCGCGUUAGCUUAGUCUCGCAGAGGGUCGAUACUCCGCGAAACGAGCGAGCAACGUUGAGGGCCAGGACUA